This 506-nucleotide ribosomal RNA is filed under the name Bacillus haynesii. RNAcentral describes it as "bacterial SSU rRNA". It matches the Rfam family "Bacterial small subunit ribosomal RNA", at positions 77 to 566 of the family's 1533-position model. The record is from RNAcentral. Lineage: Bacteria; Bacillati; Bacillota; Bacilli; Caryophanales; Bacillaceae.
AGCUUGCUCCCUGAUGUCAGCGGCGGACGGGUGAGUAACACGUGGGUAACCUGCCUGUAAGACUGGGAUAACUCCGGGAAACCGGGGCUAAUACCGGAUGCUUGAUUGAACCGCAUGGUUCAAUUAUAAAAGGUGGCUUUUAGCUACCACUUACAGAUGGACCCGCGGCGCAUUAGCUAGUUGGUGAGGUAACGGCUCACCAAGGCAACGAUGCGUAGCCGACCUGAGAGGGUGAUCGGCCACACUGGGACUGAGACACGGCCCAGACUCCUACGGGAGGCAGCAGUAGGGAAUCUUCCGCAAUGGACGAAAGUCUGACGGAGCAACGCCGCGUGAGUGAUGAAGGUUUUCGGAUCGUAAAACUCUGUUGUUAGGGAAGAACAAGUACCGUUCGAAUAGGGCGGUACCUUGACGGUACCUAACCAAAAAGCCACGGCUAACUACGUGCCAGCAGCCGCGGUAAUACGUAGGUGGCAAGCGUUGUCCGGAAUUAUUGGGCGUAAAGC